GGGGAAUAUUGGACAAUGGGCGAAAGCCUGAUCCAGCCAUGCCGCGUGUGUGAAGAAGGCCCUCGGGUCGUAAAGCACUUUAAGUUGGGAGGAAGGACUUACAGCGAAUACCUGUGAGUUUUGACGUUACCGACAGAGUAAGCACCGGCUAACUUCGUGCCAGCAGCCGCGGUAAUACGAAGGGUGCAAGCGUUAAUCGGAAUUACUGGGCGUAAAGCGCGCGUAGGUGGCUUGAUAAGUUGGAUGUGAAAUCCCCGGGCUCAACCUGGGAACUGCAUCCAAAACUGUCUGGCUAGAGUGCGGUAGAGGGUAGUGGAAUUUCCAGUGUAGCGGUGAAAUGCGUAGAUAUUGGAAGGAACACCAGUGGCGAAGGCGACUACCUGGACUGACACUGACACUGAGGUGCGAAAGCGUGGGGGGCAAAC
This 425-nucleotide ribosomal RNA is filed under the name uncultured bacterium. Its description in RNAcentral is "bacterial SSU rRNA". It matches the Rfam family "Bacterial small subunit ribosomal RNA", at positions 356 to 773 of the family's 1533-position model. The record is from RNAcentral.